UCCUACGGGACGCAGCAGUGGGGGAUAUUGCACAAUGGGGGAAACCCUGAUGCAGCGACGCCGCGUGUGGGAAGACGGUCCUCUGGAUUGUGAACCACUGUCCCCAGGGACGAAAAUGACGGUACCUGGGGAGGAAGCUCCGGCUAACUACGUGCCAGCAGCCGCGGUAAUACGUAGGGAGCGAGCGUUGUCCGGAAUUACUGGGUGUAAAGGGAGCGUAGGCGGGGAUGCAAGUUGGGUGUCAAAACUACCGGCUCAACUGGUAGUCGCACUCAAAACUGCAGCUCUUGAGUGAAGUAGAGGCA
This 305-nucleotide ribosomal RNA is filed under the name uncultured bacterium. Its description in RNAcentral is "bacterial SSU rRNA". It matches the Rfam family "Bacterial small subunit ribosomal RNA", at positions 337 to 659 of the family's 1533-position model. The record is from RNAcentral.